Molecule: ribosomal RNA, 500 nt
Filed under: uncultured bacterium
Lineage: Bacteria
Description: partial 16S ribosomal RNA
Rfam family: Bacterial small subunit ribosomal RNA
Source: RNAcentral
AUUGAACGCUGGCGGAAUGCUUUACACAUGCAAGUCGAACGGCAGCACGGACUUCGGUCUGGUGGCGAGUGGCGAACGGGUGAGUAACAUAUCGGAACGUAUCCAAUAAUGGGGGAUAACUAAUCGAAAGGUUGGCUAAUACCGCAUACGCCCUACGGGGGAAAGCAGGGGAUCUUCGGACCUUGCGUUAAUGGAGCGGCUGAUAUCUGAUUAGCUAGUUGGUGAGGUAAAGGCUCACCAAGGCGACGAUCAGUAGCUGGUCUGAGAGGACGACCAGCCACACUGGAACUGAGACACGGUCCAGACUCCUACGGGAGGCAGGAGUGGGGAAUUUUGGACAAUGGGCGCAAGCCUGAUCCAGCCAUUCCGCGUGAGUGAAGAAGGCCUUCGGGUUGUAAAGCUCUUUCGCAAGGGAAGAAAACUUACUUUCUAAUAAAGAGUGAGGUUGACGGUACCUCGAUAAGAAGCACCGGCUAACUACGGGCCAGCCGCCGCGGUAA